This 231-nucleotide ribosomal RNA is filed under the name uncultured bacterium. RNAcentral describes it as "partial 16S ribosomal RNA". It matches the Rfam family "Bacterial small subunit ribosomal RNA", at positions 334 to 581 of the family's 1533-position model. The record is from RNAcentral.
GGCACCUACGGGGGGCAGCAGUGGGGAAUAUUGCACAAUGGGGGAAACCCUGAUGCAGCAACGCCGCGUGAGUGAAGAAGGUUUUCGGAUUGUAAAGCUCUGUUAGCAGGGAAGAGGAAGGACGGUACCUGCAGAGGAAGCCACGGCUAACUAAGUGCCAGCAGCCGCGGUAAUACGUAGGUGGCACGCGUUGUUCGGAAUAGCUGGGCGUAUAGGAUGCGUAGGCGGUUA